RNAcentral lists this unclassified non-coding RNA (6126 nucleotides) under Octopus sinensis (East Asian common octopus). Its description in RNAcentral is "thrombospondin type-1 domain-containing protein 7A, transcript variant X10". Lineage: Eukaryota; Metazoa; Mollusca; Cephalopoda; Octopoda; Octopodidae. The record is from RNAcentral.
UACGCCAAUACAAGUGUCGUCUGCUCGCAAGUGAUGUUGGAAUGGAUAUGGAAUUUCAACUGUGAUCUAAACAUUAUCAUUCUUACUGUAGUAGUACAAUAAUAAUAACAACAAUAACAUCAAUAAUAAUAAUAAUAAUAAUAAUAAUAAUAAUCACCGCCACCAUCAUCAUCAUCAUCAAUAUAUUAUAAUCAUGUGGAGGAAUAAUAUAAUAAUAAUGAUAAUACAACAUACCAACUUACUCUAAAAUCUGUGACAGAUAUAUAAACUAUCUAUCAAGUUGGACACAAUUAAAUUCUGUUCUGGAGUUAGAAUUCUAUUUGUCAAAAGAGAUUGCCUUUGUUCCAGUACCACUAAUCCUCCCCAAAACAUCUCCGUACAGACAUUUUCCCCACUUAUAACUUUUCCCAAUAAUCUGUGGAGAUGACAUUAGCAGUUACUUCAGUAAACUCCAGUUUGAUUGGUGAUGGAGCAAGUGAGGGCUUCAGUGAUAUAGCAAUUAGGAGCCGCUUGCCUUUACAAUGAACUUUUCAGAAGCGAUGACGUACAGACUUAGAAAAGCUACUUUUGUGCACAUCACCUGCACGAACCAAAAUCCCUAUGUUUGAUCCACUGUAGAUAUGCAAUAGACAAGAGAUUUGCUGAGUUUUGCCUGCCACUUGAUGAGCAUGGAAGAUGGAAAGUACCGAAGGAGAAGAAAAGUAGACACAACCAGAAGAUUGCUUCUAAUUUUAAUGUGUUGUUAUUCUACCAUGGGUCAACAAGUGUACCGAUGGAAAACAGGUGAAUGGGGCCCAUGCGAACAUCGUUGGUGUGGCGAAAAUGGAACAAAAACGCGGACUUUGAAAUGUGUUGGUGUAUACGGAGAAACAGUGGAUAUAGCGAGAUGCGAUAACGUCCACAGACCGGCAACACAGGAAAACUGUUAUAAGCCUUGUAAUCAUCACAGAAGUAAUUUCAACUGGGAAAUUGGUACCUGGGGAAAAUGUAAACCAUUUUUGCCAACAUUAGCUUGUAAAAGGCAGGUGGGUCUUCAGACUCGACCUGUCAAAUGUUUCUCAGUGAAAGACAAAAAAGUAAGAGAUGAUGAUGUAUGUAGUUACUUCUUAAGAAAACCCAACACGGAAAGAGAGUGUCAGGUCUAUUGCCCGCAGGACUGUAUUGUUAGUGAAUUUUCAAACUGGAGUUCUUGUGAUUCUUGUACUUACAUCAAUAAAACAAGAACGCGAACUGUGGUGGUUCCUCCUUUUGCUGGUGGUAAACCUUGUCCUGUUCUUUCUGAGAUGAGACCUUGUCCAAAAUGCAUCGAUUCUUUUACAUUUAAAAUUGGACCAUGGAGAAAAUGUAAGGAAAUUCACACUAAAAAUUCAGUUCAUAAACAAAGAUUUCAUCAUUACAUUGGAUACCAGGAAAGGGAUAUAAGUUGUCUUGGGCGACAUGGAAGACUUGUUCCUCUAAAAGAUUGCUGGGAGACAGGAAUAGUUCAUGCUGAUUACCAAAGUUGUGUAUUACCUCAAGACUGUAUAGUUUCAGAAUGGAUGGGAUGGAAAGCUUACAGUGAUGGUUGUCAAACUAUUGAUGGAGUAAUAUACAAAUCGCAUGUUAUAAGAAAACGGAAAAUUUUACAAAUGCCUCUUGGUGAUGGAGCUAAGUGUCCAAAUCUAGAAGAGAUUCAAGAAAAUAAUACGGCAAUCAGAAGGCUCAAACGCUGCCCUAUCUAUCACUGGAUUGUAUCCGGAUUUGGUUUAUGUAAACCUUCCUCUGUAACAACAAACUGUGGUCCUGGUCUGCAACAGCGCACAGUCAUAUGCGUAGAGGAAACUGAUGAUAACAAGCAAGUUCCAGUAGCAGAAAGUAAUUGCAAAGAGUCAAAGCCGUCAUUAUCAAAAGUCUGCCAUAUCGAAUGUCGAGCACGAUGCUUGGCAUCCGAAUGGAGUGCUUGGAGUAAAUGUAAAUCUAUUUCUUGCAUUGGAGAUCAGCUUCAUCGCAAAAAGCGACAACCUUACUCAGGUUAUAGAGAAAGAACACUUAAAAGUAUAUCCACACCAAAUGGAGGAAAUGCCAAGUGUCCCACUGUUACAGAAACUCAACCUUGUGAUCCAGGUCCCUGCUAUUCUUGGAAUCUUACUUCAUCUAAUAUUUGUUCUCUUGACAGUUCUGAACGACUGUGUGGACAGGGAACAAGACACAACAAACUUUUGUGUACUGAUGUGCAUGGCGUUCAAAAAGAUGAAAGCCUUUGUGACAGCUAUAGUCGGCCAAGUGAUAAAGAAAGUUGUCGGAUUCCCUGUCCAAUGGAUUGUGUUUUAUCAGAGUGGAGCUCAUGGACUGAAUGCCCUGACGAAUGUGACAAGAAAGCUCGAGCAACCAACAGAGAUCGAAGACGGAUGGUUCUAGCCUUCCCAGUGGCAUCUGGUCCAGCAUGCCCACCUUUUUCAUCAUUGAAAGAAAGCAGUCCAUGUCCAUCAAGGCUCGAGUGUAGAACAUUUUCAUGGGUAGCAAUGGCUUGGAAACUAUGUAUACUUGGACAAAGUGUCACCUGUGGAACAGGACAGCAACGUCGUGAAGUCAAGUGCAAGAGUGAAGGACGAGACGUUGAUGACAGCUGGUGUGUUAGAAAUUUAAAGCCUAAUGAAGUGCAGACUUGCCAGUUACCAUGCCCACGAGACUGUGAAGUAACUGAUUAUUCUCACUGGUCACCUUGCAGUGCUACUUGUCAAGAAGCAAGACAAGCAACUCCAACUCAGUCUCGGAAGAAAUAUAUCCUACAACCAGCGGACGAAGGAGGAAAACCAUGUCCAAUGAAGCUGGUGGAUACGAAACAUUGCACUGAUUUACCAUGGUGUGAUGAGUAUCUUUGGGAGGUCACUCCGUGGAGUGCCUGUGUGUUGCCGCCACGAGUGCCUUAUUGUGGACAAGGAUUACGAGGAAGAAAUGUUACUUGCAAAGAUCAGCGUAACAGUAGUUACCCCCCUGAUGUCUGUUUGGAACGAGUCGGGCCCAUGCCGAUUGUAGCAGAACAAUGUUUUGUACCUUGUGAUGAAAACUGCUUCCUAACUGAAUGGACUAAGUUUGGCCCAUGUAUUAAUGGUUGCAAUGGCUAUACAAUCAGAAUUCGUGAGUUAACUAGUAAAAGCAAGUAUAAUUCAGAAUGCAAGAACCGUGAGAGAUAUCCUCGCUAUCAGAGAAGGCACUGUCAAUGUGAUCCAUUUCAGCCAGUAGUUAUUGGUAAUCAAUCAGACUGCAUAAUCGAAGAACCAGUAAGAACCACCCCGGUAGAUAAAGUUGACACAUCACAGCUUUUCUCUCCAUUUUCUCCUCAAGGGCCAGAGAUGCAAUCAACAACUGAUGAAGAAUCUUUGCAACAAUCUGACUGUGGAGAGGGAAAAGCUUACAAAGCAUUACUAUGUCUCAACAGUAAUAACAUUUUGAAAGGAACUUCCCAGUGUUCCCAUGCAGGUCCACAAAAUCCAUGCUGCACAUUUCAGUAUAAAUUCGAAUCCUGUUCUAUUUCUUGCCCAGUAGAUUGUCUGAUGUCACAAUGGAGUUCUUGGUCUACGUGUAAUGCUUCAUGUGGUUAUGGCUUCCGUGAGAGGUACAGAACUGUUGAGCAGAGCCCUCUAUAUGGUGGAAGGCCAUGUCCAAAAUUAGGCAGUAAGGAUACAGAAAGUUUUCGGGCAGAAAUACAAACCAAACUUUGCAAAACUGAUUGUAAGGAAUAUGUGUGGAGACAUGAUGGAUGGGAUUCUUGUGUGUAUCAAUCCCCAGCCACUUGUGGAAGGGGCAUACAAACACGUCGUGUAAUGUGUGUUGAAAAGGAAGAUUUGUCUCGAAGCAUAUCACUGCAAGACUCUUACUGUGAUGAGAUUCCAAAACCUGCUGAACAGCGUAUUUGCAGUACUCCAUGUAUUAGGGAAUGUGUUGUGAGUGAAUGGUCUGAGUGGACAAAAUGUGAUGUACCCUGCAAUAGGCAACAAACUCAGUGGAGAACACGAAAAGUUUUACGAGAACCAGAUAAAUAUAGGCGAGACCAUUAUCCUUGCCCAUCUCUCCGAGAAGAACUUUAUUGCAUUAAAGGCAAAAACUGCAGGGAAUUUAUUUGGAACGUUUCAAAAUGGACAUCCUGUAUGGUCAAAGAUGGAGAAGAACCCUGUGGUUUUGGCAAAAGAGAGCGCUUUAUUAUGUGUACUGAUUAUUAUGGAAAAUUACAGAGGAGUCACUACUGCUAUGAAGUCGCAGGAAAACCAAAAUUUAAGUUACAAGAAUUUUGUGAAAUUCCUUGUGAUGAGAACUGUUUACUUUCAACUUGGUCAUCGUGGGGCCCUUGUAGCAAAUCUUGUGGAUUGGGUACAUCACAGCGACAAAGGUAUGUUCUAAAGAAAGCAGUUGGGUAUGGCAGGCCAUGUUCCAGUCAGCUUACUCAAAGGAAGCCCUGUGUAUUACGUGGUUGUUUUAGAUGGGAUGUUACAAAUUGGACCGAAUGCUUUACUGAGAAAGGAGUUUGUGGACACGGGGUGCAAAUAAGGAAUAUUACAUGUACAGGAGAAGGCAAAACACAAGUUGACGAUUCGUUUUGUAAGGCCAACCGGAGCAUAGCUGCAAUUAAGACUAAACGAUCAUGCUAUAUCGGAUGCCCUGGAGAGUGUGUUCUAACGGAAUGGAGUGAAUGGAGUGCAUGUUACUUAAACUGUCGGGACAAAGGAGUUGCAGAUCAUGAGCGAGGAAUCCAGAGUCGAUCGCGAGCAAUUCUGGCUUAUCCUGCUGCAAGAUCCACACUCUGUCCUACAAAACUUUACGAGAGUCGCCCAUGCCAUGCAAAGAAUUGUUUUACUUUCCGGUGGAAAUAUAGUAAAUGGGAUAAAGAAAAAAGACAUGUAUGGUGUGAAAGAUCUGAUUCUCUAAAUGUUACAGGUGCUUGUGAUGAAACCACUUAUCCUGGUGACACGCUUAACUGUGAUCCGCCUUGUCCUGGCAAUGACUCAAAGUGUUCUGAUGUAAAUGUGUGUCAGUGUCUAACUUCCUAUGAGCCAAUCUAUCGUGAUAAUAUCCUAAUUGGCUGUGGCCCACCAACAGUUACUAACACACAAACGAAGAUCACAACAAAAGAAAAUAAUCCCAAUAAUUCAUACAAGAGAGGAAGCAUGUCAAUUUGGAUGUACGCAGUGAUUGGUGGAGGUACUCUGGCUGUUGCAGGACUGACAUACUUCUUCUAUGCUAUAUGUGGAUUAUUUCGAAAAGGCCCACGUGACAGAGACAGCCGAUCGCAUGGUCAGGAUACAACUUCACAACAUCUUUCAAUUGAUGAACAAGCAGUUCAAUGCAAUCAUGUCCAGGCAUUUGUUGAGGCUCAGCAAGAAAACAAUGAAAAUUCUUCCCGCCAAAUAGCAGGCAAAGUUGCUGUUAGCACAGUAGUAUGAACGACUGACACUACGCCGCCCCUCAUUGUUGUCACUAUAUAAUGUACCGUCAUCAACAUGGCCAUCACACAAAACUGCAGUUGAACAUAAGACUUGCACUGCCAGCUCACCCAACCUUCAAAGGGAUAACAAUAUCCAUGGCAACAAGUAUGUAUGAUACACUUGCCAUUGAUGGAGCAGAGUAUUGAUGCAGAUGUGUCUGAAAAGAGUCUGACAAAAAUGUUGGAUUUUACCAGUGACAGAAGUGACAACUCCAAUAUCCCAAAAUAUAUUGAUUGGCAAGAAGAUUUCAAGAAAGUUCUGCCUCUGCUGCUGUCUGAGUAUAUUCAGUAACAUUUUCGCUGACCAGCCAAUCUGAAAUUAUCUCAACAAUUACUGGAUAUGUUUUGAGGACAACUUCCAACAACAAUCAAAAAUGGAGGUUGCCAAAUGUCGAAGCUCACCAAAAUCAAAGUCGAAAUCAAGUAGAAAUUUGAGCUUAUCAUCACAUAAUUGUCUCAGAGUCUAUUCUGAUGUUGAUGUAGAAUUUCUCACAGCAUGCAUGGCUAUUCGUGAUGCAAACCACUCCAACAUGUUUAAAGAUCAUGUUGUAACCAUUAUGUUCAUAGGAUUCUUGUUCAGAAUUUUGUUAUUGUCUUGGAGAGAGAAAAGUUACUACUUUCAAAUGGGAUGGCACAACCAUGUGCUAAAAGGGAAUGCAGAGCGAGAG